CCUGCUGGCUGGGCGGCGGCGCCCAACUCGGGCGAGGAAAGUCCGGGCUCCGCAGGAGGCUGUGCUGGGUAACUCCCAGGCGUCGGGACAUCCGACGACGGAAAGCGCCACAGAAACGCAAACCGCCCCAAUCGGGGUAAGGGUGCAACGGUGCGGUAAGAGCGCACCAGCGUUUGCGCAAGCAAUCGGCUGGGCAAGCCCCACAGGGAGCAAGGUCAUGUAGGGAGGGGAUGACGCGCUCCGCUGACCCUCCGGGUAGACCGCGUGAGGCUUCGCGUAAGCGAACGCCCCAGAGAGAUCGCCGCCUCAAACAGAACCCGGCUUACACGCCAGCAGGCACA
RNAcentral lists this RNase P RNA (341 nucleotides) under Armatimonadetes bacterium CP1_7O. RNAcentral's name for it is "RNase P RNA component class A". It matches the Rfam family "Bacterial RNase P class A". From Rfam's summary of the family: Ribonuclease P (RNase P) is a ubiquitous endoribonuclease, found in archaea, bacteria and eukarya as well as chloroplasts and mitochondria. Its best characterised activity is the generation of mature 5'-ends of tRNAs by cleaving the 5'-leader elements of precursor-tRNAs. Lineage: Bacteria; Bacillati; Armatimonadota. The record is from RNAcentral. RNAcentral also lists the same sequence under 2 other names.